Molecule: non-coding RNA, 108 nt
Filed under: Aeromicrobium massiliense
Lineage: Bacteria; Bacillati; Actinomycetota; Actinomycetes; Propionibacteriales; Nocardioidaceae
Description: SAM riboswitch (S box leader)
Rfam family: SAM riboswitch aptamer (S box leader)
About the family: The SAM riboswitch is found upstream of a number of genes which code for proteins involved in methionine or cysteine biosynthesis in Gram-positive bacteria. The SAM riboswitch acts at the level of transcription termination control.
Source: RNAcentral
UUCAUCAAGAGGAGCAGAGGGACCCGGCCCGCUGAAGCUCCAGCAACCAGCUCGACCACGAGCCAGGUGCUACCUCCGGCCCCGGCGACGGUCGUCGGGGGCAGAUGA